This 154-nucleotide non-coding RNA is filed under the name pig gut metagenome. RNAcentral's name for it is "glmS glucosamine-6-phosphate activated ribozyme". It matches the Rfam family "glmS glucosamine-6-phosphate activated ribozyme aptamer", at positions 11 to 154 of the family's 167-position model. From Rfam's summary of the family: This entry contains a glucosamine-6-phosphate activated ribozyme that is found in the mRNA for GlmS. GlmS is an enzyme that uses fructose-6-phosphate and glutamine to generate glucosamine-6-phosphate. The ribozyme catalyses self cleavage of the glmS mRNA that is thought to regulate GlmS activity. The record is from RNAcentral.
AACAAGCGCCAGCGCUGGCCGGGCAUGGACCAGCGGACGAGGUGGAGGUUGCGCGAAAGCGCGAAAAUCGAAAGGUUCGGCGGAUGCCUCCCGUCCCGCCGCGGGGCGGAGGGCCGCAGCAAAACCACCGGGCGACCGGUGGGACAAAGUGCGG